Molecule: microRNA precursor, 62 nt
Filed under: Eptatretus burgeri (inshore hagfish)
Lineage: Eukaryota; Metazoa; Chordata; Myxini; Myxiniformes; Myxinidae
Description: Ebu-Mir-216-P2b1_pre stem-loop
Source: RNAcentral
CAAUCUCAGCUGGCAACUGUGAGUUCCAUUAUGAACAACGCACGGUAGUCACUGGGAUUAGG